Molecule: long non-coding RNA, 5070 nt
Organism: Acinonyx jubatus (cheetah)
Lineage: Eukaryota; Metazoa; Chordata; Mammalia; Carnivora; Felidae
Exons: 3
Source: RefSeq, a predicted model, not a curated record
GUGGCUCCGUGUGAAGAUUUUGAAUGGUGGAAACACACACAAGGCCCUUCCCCUGAACCUGUGGCAGUCACGUGACUAACGGUCACUUUGAAACCCUCAGGGGGAUGUCACUGCCAAGAGCCCCGAGUGAGGUCACCGUUCACGUUCACGUGCUGAGGAGCAUUUUUGCAUCGGCCCAGUCUGCGUCAGCAUCAACUUGUUUUUAGUUAAGCUGUAAAAGAGCAAUAAGACGUCAGAGACAACUCCCAGACAAUGCAUAUUCGCCUCAUCUUCAGUGGAGUCUCACUGGACUUUGGAGACAGGUUUCUCUGAAAAUUCCUGGCCGUGUGCUAAGACACCUUCUUGCACAGCAACAGCGUUCAGGAUGGUGUGCAAACCAUGCAACGGAUAAGGUUACUGCUUUCCCAGCAUUCCGUCUUGCUUAUUCCAACUAUGACAUAAUUUAAGUGGAAGGAAACGUUUUCUAUGGCAGCCGUUCACAGAAGUGUCAUAUGUAUGUGGCGUAGAACUGGUAACCACAUCCCAAAAUUAUAAACCAUUUGGUGCCAUCGUACAAGCUAACUCAAUGCUCUGCUCUAUAGGAGACUCACCGAAGUCAAUGGGAUAACGGUGCUUCUGCACAAUGGAGUCUUCCGCAGGUGAAAAAGGAAGAAAGAGGAUCUCUCUGUCCUCACAGAAAGUGUUCAGCAAGAUAGAUUUUAGUACUAAAAGAGAGACAGUGUUCCAGAGGGUGUAUUGUCUUGCCCCCUGGGUCCCAAAGGAAGUAAACUUGGAGCAAAUCCUCCAGCCAAGGCAGGAUGGAUGGGUAGUGAGGAACAGCUGCACGACUGUUCUGUUUCCAAAGAAGAUUUUUACAUAUCUUUUCACAAGAAUGGCUGCAGCCGCAGGAUGAGGCACUGCAGAAUUAGGAAGUGUCAACAAGAGGCCUUGGUAAGUGUUCAAAGAACACGAUUGAGGAAAGGAAAGGUUAGAAAAUCUGACUCAGUCCACGCCUGGAAAUUCUGAGAAGCGAGCGCGAUGGAAUAUUAGGGACUCCUUCCCCAUCUGGAGGCAGGAUCUGGAAUUUGUGACCUGCCCUGAUCGUGCUGACGUCACGCAGGCACUGCAGUGGUAACUUAGCAACUCUGCCAGCUCUCCCUCCGUGGAGCCCACUGUGCAGGAAUGUGAUUAAGUCGCCCGUGGCACCAAAUCCUAGCUAAUGCUUCAGAGGACCAGGCUUUGUCUUAGAAAUAUUUUCCAGUGGAUAGAAAAACAGCUCUUUCUGGCUCACUGCAGGGUCUGUCUCUGAGGGCGAAUGGAACUGCUGAGAUGGCAGUUUAUUCCAGUGAGGUAGCCUCAGCCAGCUGCUGGGAGGCUGAGCCCAUUUACCCUACGGGCAGGUUUGCCAAGGUAGCAGGGAUCCCUCAACAGCCUCAGCUGGGUUCAUCCAGGAUUCAGACUUGCUGCGGCAUGAUCUGGGAGGCUGGCAGGUGCCGGGGGCUGGGCUUUGGGCAUCAGGAGCCUCGUGGAAAAGAAAUUCACUGUUGGCUCAAAGACAGUGAGAGAGCAAGUGCUGGGGGCCAGGGGCUUUCUGAGGACAGCAUGGUGGGUGUCUGCCACUCAGAUUGUCCUCUGUGACUGCUCUCUGGGCUGCGCUCCUGAGUCCUGGGAGGAGGAGCUGCACUUAACAUCGAGUGGAAAUGGACAGAGCUGAUCCACUUGUAACCUCAGAUGUGCAAAGGGGCAGGAGAGAGUACUCCGAAGCCUCAUCUGAGCGCACCCUGCUCUUUUGAUGUCCCACAGGCUCUUCCCACGGUCACCUCUGAUCCUGCCCCCAUUGCACUCCCUACCCACCCUCCACUUUGGUGGCCAGUUACCAAGAGGGCCCUGGGUUCCACCUCAAGGGCCUAAAUACUUCAUUGCCUAAAAGGCUUUCUCAGGCCCAGGCCCAGGGGCUGAAUGCGUCGGUGCCAACCUCCAACUGAUGAGGGACAUAGACAGGUACAUAACACUCCCCCCACCCCAGCUUUCUAACCCUGCCUUGGGACAAUUCUGGGGCAGUUCCACACAGCUCCCCAGGGAUCCCAGCGGGACCCAGACAAACUUGCCCACACCGGUAAUCUGCUCAUUAGCAUAUCUUUCACUGGCUGCUCUCUCUGGCUCCGAGCUCUCUUCACUCCCGCCUUCUCUUCUGCUUCCUAGCAACCCCUCCCAAACAAACUGCCUGCACCUACGCCCCUCCUGGGGGGGCUGCUUUUCGGGAAAAUGUAAACCAAGACACCCACUCUAUUACCUGCCUCGCCACCAAUUUAAAUUCUCUAACCUCCCUUCAUUCUUCAGGCCUUUCUUCUUGUAGCUGAUGUCGAAUUCAUACCUCCACCAAAGCAAUGCACCACCUUCUUUGUAACAUGCCGCAUAGCGACCUAGAGAUGCUGUGUUUUUGAAAUUUCAGUCUUCCUUUCCGCUCUCCCCCACCGGCGUCUGCAUGUAGAAAGAGGCAGAGGAGACAAUUCUUUGUCUCUUGAUAUGAACUGUGCAUGGACACAGCCCCUUGAAAGGUAGAAGUCACUGCUGUGAGCUUGCUAUUCACUAUUUUUACUUCCACCCAGAAGGGUAUUUUCCUACUGGAUGCUGCUGGGGAAGGCAGUGGACGCAGUGACUCACGGGGUGAGAGCAGGAAGGACAUCACAUCUUGGCGACAUCGAGGUAGCUUCGGAGGCCCUGGUGCCCGAUGUAAAUGUGGAGUGAGGCAAAUGGAGGGUUGCCUCAAGAAUACAUUGAAGGCACCCACCAGAGAUGAGCAGCACCUUUGGGAGGAAUUUGAGGGAGGCCUGGAAUUCCCACAGCACGGGCGAGAAUGGAAUUGAAGCCCUCCUUUUAGACACUGUCUGUCUUGACUGGUGUGGCCCAGAAAAUUAUGCAUUAUGCUAAGACAGCUGUGAUUAUUCCCCAUGUACUCUAAAUUGCUUAAUUUGGCUGAGUGGAUACACACUAAUCCAUUCCCUGGUGAAGCAGACACAAAGGGAUAUUUCCCCAUAAAGCGAAGCAUGAUGGCAGAUAUGAUGGGAGACUGGGGGAGCCAUCAUGGUUGAACUUGGGUAGAAACUUACAGUAAAAAUGCCACAGAGGUGAGGGCUCCUUGGCAUCCUGAAGAAAGCCUAGCAUUGGAAAUGAUUUGAAAAGGUGAAUCUGCUAAGAAAAACUCAGCCAGGUGAUAGUGUAACUUAAUUCUUUAAAGGAAUCAAAUUCAGAGAGAGUAACUUUAAGACUAUGUAAGCUGUUAGAACCUUAGGACUCAGUGAAAACUCAAAGAAAUAGCAUUUAUUGAAUGUGUUCUUAACUUGGGGACAUAAAGUGCCUAAAACUGGAUGCCAACUGUUUCUCAAAAGAGCAUUUCUAGUUAUGGGUGCCUGGCUGGCUCGGCAGGUGGGGCAUGCGACUCUUGAUGUUGGGGUCCUGAGCUUGAGUCCCACGUGGGGCGUAGAGAUUACUUUCAAAAACUAAAUAAAACGAAAAAAAAAAGAGAAAGGAUUUGUAGUUUCAUCAGAUUCUUAUUGGGGAAUCUGACCCCCAAAAGAUCAAAAACUAUUGGUAUACUUUAAGAAUACAGAAACCAAGGCAUCAUAUAAAGCUACCUACAUGCAACCUCUGUCCUGUUUCUAAUCUCAUGUGGACUGUACUUAGAACAAUAAUGGUAACAGCAACAGGCGUCACCACCACCUUAAUGAGCCUGAGGAUCGUGACAGCCAAGCGGACUUAACGUGCUAUUGUAUAUAUGGAAAGCGUGGGUUUUGUACUCAAUGGUAAUGGACUCAAAUUCCUAUUUAUAUUGCUAUUUAAUAAUUAUAUGACCUUCACCUGGUAACUUCAUCCCUUUUUGCCUAUUUUCUCAUCUCUAAAAUGGAAAUCCUAUCUCAUAUGUUGCUAUGACGGUUAGUAUGGAUAUGUGUGGCCUCCCUGGAAUUCUUUCUUAGAAAAUUUUUUUUAAUGUUUAUUUAUUUUGAGAGAGAGAGAGAGAGAGAGCAGGGGAGGGGCAGAGAGAGAGAGAGGGAGACAGAGAAUCCCAAGCAGGCUCUGCACCCUCAGCACAGAGCCCGACCUCACAAACCGAGAGAGCAUGACCUGAGCCCAAAUCAAGAGUCAGACACUUAACCGCUUAACCGACCGAGCCACGCAGGCGCCCCUGGGAUUACUGCUUUUACUGUCAGAGCCCUCUGUCACAGGAUGUAGAUGGGUUGCUAUAAAGGUUGGGGUUCGUCAGAGAGAUCAGAAUCUACUCAAGCUGGUUUCGGUAGAAGAGUCAUCACAAUUUGGAGGGCUGAAGAAACAGAUUGCAUACUGAGCGUCUAGAAAGGAGUCUCAAAGCCAAACCGCAGAACUAGGACACCCCGGAAGCUGCUGCAUAUCCUGUGGGCAGGAGGCCAUCUACUCAAUCAGGAAGCUGCACGAGGACUGCUGGCCGGGAGGUCAUGCCAUCGUUAUUUCCAUCAUGAAGGCGUCGCGAAUUGGAGGUCGGCCUCCACAGCUACCGGAGCUUCAGAACCACAGCACACCUGUGACAGUAGACUCUGCCAUCUGACGGCAGUGCCCGGAGAGAAACCACAUACCUUUGCAGAUAAACCACAUACCUCUGCGACCAUUUAUGAAACAGGAGCAUAGAAACAACAAAAGCAGGGCUCUUACCUCAUAAUCUGAUUUGAGGAGCCUAAAUCAUAGCCAGGGCUUAGCUCAAGGGGGUUUGGAAAAUGUAGGAUUUUUUUUUUCUUUAAUCUUUUCAUCAUCUCGUAUGGGGGGGGGGCACACUAGAGAGAGAUUAGAAUGCGUGCUUAGCGCUAAUCAGCCACAUGCACUCCGGAAUGUUUGGUCAAGGUAUUUUUAUGUUUAUUUUUUAAAAGUUUCUAAUGUUUGUUAUGGAGAGACAGAGCAUGAGCCAUCAGCACAGAGCCCGAUGCACGGCUGGAACGCAAAGACCGCGAGAUCGUGACCUGAGCCGAAGUCGGCCUUUAACCCGACAGCCACCCAGGCGCUCCCAGGGCAUUUUUAUUGUUAUAUUUUUAUUAUUUUAAAUUAUAAAAAUAAUACACAUGAAUA